Molecule: long non-coding RNA, 1320 nt
Organism: Homo sapiens (human)
Lineage: Eukaryota; Metazoa; Chordata; Mammalia; Primates; Hominidae
Gene: PMS2P4
Product: PMS1 homolog 2, mismatch repair system component pseudogene 4
Source: Ensembl
GAGGGAACUUUCCCAGGCCCCGAGGCGGAUCGGGUAUUGAGUCCAUGGAGCGAGCUGAGAGCUAGAGUACAGAACCUGCUAAGGCCAUCAAACCUAUCGAUCGGAAGUCAGUCCAUCAGAUUUGCUCUGGGCCGGUGGUACUGAGUCUAAGCACUGCGGUGAAGGAGUUAGUAGAAAACAGUCUGGAUGCUGGUGCCACCAAUAUUGAUCUAAAGCUUAAGGACUAUGGAGUGGAUCUCAUUGAAGUUUCAGACAAUGGAUGUGGGGUAGAAGAAGAAAACUUUGAAGGCUUAACGAUGUCACCAUUUCUACCUGCCACGCAUCGGCGAAGGUUGGGACUCGACUGGUGUUUGAUCACGAUGGGAAAAUCAUCCAGAAAACCCCCUACCCCCACCCCAGAGGGACCACAGUCAGCGUGAAGCAGUUAUUUUCUACACUACCUGUGCACCAUAAGGAAUUUCAAAGGAAUAUUAAGAAGACGUGCCUGUUUCCCCUUCGCCUUCUGCCGUGAUUGUCAGUUUCCUGAGGCCUCCCCAGCCAUGCUUCCUGUACAGCCUGCAGAACUGUCACCUGACCCAGCUCAGGAGCUUAAAGACAGGGCCAAUGGACCAGGCCUGAGAAGUGACUACUUCCUAAGAAGUGGUACCAUAUUUUCAUUUCUUUCACUAGACACUAGUAUAAGAAUACAGAGGCCAUGACUGGAAAAUGACAAGAUCUGCAUACUCCGAGAUCAACAACGAAAAGGAAAAGAAGCGCCAGAAAACACAUAAUUGGAAGGAAUCUAAAUGAGCCUUGUUUUGCUUUUUGGAUGGGUUUCUGUAUUAUUUCUUCGUGGCCAUGGUUCCCAAGCAGUGGGAACAGAGUACUCACUGGGACACUGCAGGGUAUCUUGAAUUUUAAAGAGGAACGCAGUGACACUGGACAUCUGUUGGGCAUUUCAACAACUGCUAGCUUGAGAUAGUUCCCAGUUUCAACGUUAGGCUGUGUCACACUUCUUUCAAUGAUGUCAUAACAAAUAGAACUGCUAGGUAUCUCUUUUGACCUACAGGUCUUGUGAAAAAGCUAUUGAGGCACUAGAGCACUAUGAAUGUGCAAGUUGGAAACCUCCACGUUAGGGUAUAUCUGGUGUUUAAGUAAUUAAUUUCAAAGCAUUUUGGAUGCUUGACCAUCUGUCUCACUCUGGGCAUUCUAAGGACAACUUCUCAUAAUCUGGACUCCAUAAUUUGAUAUCUAUAUCUUUGCUGGAAUUUCUUCCUGACGUCACCGAGUCAACCCAUUCACUCUCUACCUACAUGAAAAAUAAAUAUGCAAGUAACAUCA